CGGAGAGGGAGCCUGAGAAACGGCUACCACAUCCAAGGAAGGCAGCANGCGCGUAAAUUACCCAAUCUUGACACAAGGAGGUAGUGACAAUAAAUAACAAUGCCGGGCCAUUCUUGGUCUGGCAAUUGGAAUGAGAACAAUUUAAACCCCUUAUCGAGGAUCAAUUGGAGGGCAAGUCUGGUGCCAGCAGCCGCGGUAAUUCCAGCUCCAAUAGCGUAUAUUAAAGUUGUUGCAGUUAAGAAGCUCGUAGUUGGAUUUGUGGCAUUGGUUGUGGCGUCCAUUAGUUUGGUUCUGUCGUGAUCUUGCCAUCCUUGGGUGGAUCCUGUGUGGCAUUAGGUUGUCGCGCAGGGGAUGCUCAUCGUUUACUGUGAAAAAAUUAGAGUGUUCAAAGCAGGCUUAUGCCGUUGAAUAUAUUAGCAUGGAAUAAUAAGAUAGGUCUUUGGUCCUAUUUUGUUGGUUUGCGGGCCGGAGAAAUGAUUAACAGGGACAGUUGGGGGUAUUCGUAUUGCAUUGUCAGAGGUGAAAUUCUUGGAUUUCUGGAAGACGAACUACUUGCGAAAGCAUUUACCAAGGAUGUUUUCAUUAAUCAAGAACCAAAGUUAGGGGAUCGAAGAUGAUUANAUACCAUCGUAGUCU
This 636-nucleotide ribosomal RNA is filed under the name uncultured organism. RNAcentral describes it as "SSU rRNA". It matches the Rfam family "Eukaryotic small subunit ribosomal RNA", at positions 384 to 1026 of the family's 1831-position model. The record is from RNAcentral.